RNAcentral lists this microRNA precursor (108 nucleotides) under Corchorus olitorius. RNAcentral's name for it is "mir-399 microRNA precursor family". It matches the Rfam family "mir-399 microRNA precursor family". Rfam says of the family: mir-399 was identified in both Arabidopsis thaliana and Oryza sativa computationally and was later experimentally verified. mir-399 is thought to target mRNAs coding for a phosphatase transporter. The record is from Rfam by way of RNAcentral. Lineage: Eukaryota; Viridiplantae; Streptophyta; Magnoliopsida; Malvales; Malvaceae.
GUUUCAAUUACAGGGCAAAAUCUCCACUGGCAGGCAGCCACUUUGAAUACUAUUUAAUGUGAUCAUAGUGAGCCCUCUGCCAAUGGAGAUUUGCCCGGCAAUUCCACU